CGCGGGGUAGAGCAGCUAGGUAGCUCGUCGGGCUCAUAACCCGGAGGUCGUAGGUUCAAAUCCUACCCCCGCAACCA
This 77-nucleotide transfer RNA is filed under the name Betaproteobacteria bacterium. RNAcentral's name for it is "tRNA-Met". It matches the Rfam family "tRNA". Rfam says of the family: Transfer RNA (tRNA) molecules are approximately 80 nucleotides in length. Their secondary structure includes four short double-helical elements and three loops (D, anti-codon, and T loops). The record is from RNAcentral. Lineage: Bacteria; Pseudomonadati; Pseudomonadota; Betaproteobacteria.